Neofelis nebulosa (Clouded leopard) is the source of this 4837-nucleotide long non-coding RNA. RefSeq lists it as uncharacterized. NCBI's taxonomy places the organism in Eukaryota, Metazoa, Chordata, Mammalia, Carnivora, Felidae. The record is from RefSeq and is a predicted model, not a curated record. The transcript has 2 exons.
UCCUCCUCGUAACAACUAUGCUAAAUUAUUUCCACUGGGGCUCAGUGAAACCAAGGGACUAACAGCCAGUAGUAUGGGUAGGAGUGUUAGACACCCUGAAAUCCUGCCAUUAUUAUAGCUUCCUUGGUCGUCUCUUUUUCUUCUUUUUGACAUUGGUUAUAUUUGUUUUCUCAUGUCAGCCAUUGUGGCCCCUGUGGAUUCAUGCAGGGAUGGGCCCAGAAGCAGCAAGCAGAUUUAGUUUUAAGGAAAAGAAUUAGUGCCAUGGGCAUACCAUGACCUUAUGCCAAUCCCUGCCUUCAGUGUACUUUUAGCAAAGAUCUGUGCAUACUUCUUCAGGUUGCCAGUGGAAAGCACAAGAAUGCAUCUGGAAGUAGUAAGAUUGACAAGCAUAGGGUCUGGGGGGUGUUUCUGUGUGAGGGGGGAAGUGAGGCUGGAGGGGCCCUGUGAGGUGAAAACAGUGCUCUAAGUGGAGGCACGCCUUUCCUGGGAUCUGGCCCUUUUACCCACCCACCUCGCUUAAGCCUUCUGAUCCCCGAUUUCUUCAGUUACCACAUAAAAAUAACUAUACCUUAUAAAGUUGCACAGAGUAAUUACCACCUAUUUUGUGUACUUACACACUGACACACUCAGUUACCUUUUGUUGGAUGGGAGGGAGGGAGGGAGAGAGAGAGGAAAAAGGGAAAGGAGGGUGGGAAGGAAGAAAGGUAGGCCAAGAUUGUCUUUCACAGUUCAUUUCAGUGCUUCUGUGAUUUUGAGCAGCUGACAUCCUUUCCCUCUCCCCUCAUUUCCCCUUCUUAAACCCUUACCUUGGGACUGUAGUAAUUUUUAAAUAGAACAUUUGUGGUGGUUGCAUGAGGUAAGCUUGUGGGCAGGGUAUUAGCAAAUCUCUGCACUUCUGAACGAUCACCUCUGUGUAUGGCACUUGAGUUCGAUGUGCAGUUCGAGGCCGGGCUGACCCCACAAGCUUGGUGAUCUCAUCACAGACCUUUUCUGGAUAAAACACAGAGUGAUUUGAGUCUGGCGUGGGAGGGGAUAUUGGAACCAUCUUCUCACAUUUCUUUCCUUGUGAAAAUCAAACCCAGGUGCUCUCCGAGUUCUGCCUGACUCAUCUUUUCUCUGCACUGCUUCCACUCGAGGGCUCUAUUCCCAAGGUUCCUCUGGGGACCGGCCUGGAGUGACACCUGCAGACCAUCUCAGGAAGCUUAGGAAGUGAAAUCUAAUUUCUUACGUCAAAAAGAAACUAAAGUGUACCUACGAAGACGUGAAGUUGAAGAGGGAAGAUACAGUUACCGCAAUCCUAGGACCUCCAAAGAGCUUCACAUUUUCAUCAAUCAAGGUUAAGUCUCAGGAAUUGAGUGCCUUGUUAAUCAAACCAUUUUCCAAGCAACACUGACACAAUGCCAUUAACAACAGAAGCAUCCAUUACUGUUUUGCCUAUAAGGGAAUUCAUUAAUCAGAGUAGGAAAACACAUACACAGUAUUAAACCAGUUCUGGGCUGAUUGUGACAAACUGUCAAGAAAAGAUUUUAUAGAGGAACAAAAUUAUUGGUGACCAUGCCUUCUAAGAAGUGACACUUGAAUGGACCUUUAAAAUUUUCCAGAAUUUGAUUAAAAUAUUGACACAAGCCAGAGACAAAAAGUGUCCCAAAUUUCUAGAAGGAAUAAAAGAAGGUAGAUCCUGGAAGCUGAAGAUCAGGGAUCUUGAAUGAACUGUUGUUACUCAAUGCUGAUUUUAAGAGAUGUUAGUGGGAAUUCCAAGAAAAAAAUGUUCCAAGGACUAGUAAGUGUGAAAACUGAAUUAAAUAAAAUUAAACAGGUUUUUGGUGUUUUUCUCAGAGGCUUUAAUAUCCUAAUAGGCACACCAUGAACCAAAAGAGAGGCCUGUAAUAUGAGCAUUUCUCAAAUUCACUUCACUGACACUGCUUUUUUGCAUAGAACAUCUACUAAUGUCUCAAAGAACAAGAUUUUGGAGAACAAUAGUGUGAGAAAUGCCUUUUCAAAAAGUUGUUGAAACAUUAAAAUAGCUUAGUAGUAUUUACUAGAUGCCAAUAUUAGUCUACUAAAAAUAAUUAAAGUAAAGAUGAAACCAUUCCCAUUUUUAGAGUUAUUAAAGUACCAUUAAAAAGUUAAUCUAAUGAUUUAAAGGGUUAUUUAAAAAAAUUUUUAAUGUUUAUUUUUGAGAGAAAGAGAGACAGAAAGUGAGUGGGGGACGGGAAGAGAGAGAGGGAAACACAUAAUCUGAAGCAGGCUCCAGUCUCUGAGCUUUCAGCACAGAGCCCGAUGCAGGGCUGGAACCCAUGAAUGGUGAUAUUACAACCUGAGCCAAAGUUGGACACUUAACUGACUGAGCCACUCAAGCACUCCUAAAGGGUUAUUAAAUUAGUGGAAUGACAUAAAAGUACAAUAUUUGGAUUUCAUCAAGGCAUUUAGCCAAGGCACAAGAUACAACAACUUUAUCUAGGUGAAAAUAUGGUUCAGUAUAUUUAUAACACUAGUGUUAUUGUUUACAUUCUUUUUAAGAAAAUGAUUAUCUAUUUUUGAGAGCAGGGAGUGGCAGAGAGUGGAAGACAGAGAAUCUCAAGAAGGCCCCGUGCUCGAGGAUAUACAUUCAGGAUUGUUGGCUACAGAACUUGUGGUCUUAACCCAACAGAGGUUUAAGCAAAGAAUGAGAUGAGGGCUUCUAAUCCUAGCUUUUUAAGGAAACUUGACUUUGGAAAAUAACAUUAGAAUUGCAACUUUUGUGCACUGUUGGUGGGAAUGUAAAUUGCUGCAGUCACUAUGGAAGACAGUAAGUCAGUUCCUCAAAAAAUUAAAAAUAGAAAUAUAUUAUGACUUGGGUAUUUACCCAGAGAAAAUGAAACACUAAUUUAAAGGUAUAUGCACCCCUAUGUUUAUUGCAGCAUUAUUUACAAUGGCCAAGAAAUGGGAGCAGCCCAAGUGUCCAUCAAUAGACAAAAGGAUAAGGAAGAGGUGGUAUAUCUAUACAAUGGAAUAUUACUCAGCCAUAAAAAAGAAUGAGAUCUUGCCAUUUGCAAUAACAUGGAAGGACCUAGAUGUUAUUAUGUUAAGUGAAAUAAAUUAGAGAAAAACAAAUACCACAUGAUUUCACUUAUAUGUGGAAUUUAAGAAACAAAACAAAUGAGUAAAGGAGAGAAAGAGAGAGAGAGAGAGAGAGAGAGAGAGAGAGAGAGAGAGGCAAACCAAGAAACAGACUCUUAAAUAUAGAGAACAAACUUGUAUUACCAGAAGGGAAGUAGCUGGGGGAUGGGUGAAAUAGAUAAAGGGGAUUAAGAGAUACAAACUUCUAGUCAUAAAUAAAUCACAGAGAUGAAAAGUACAGCAUAGGGGAUAUAGUCUAUAAUAUUGUAAUAAUGUUGUUUGGUGACAGAUGAUGUCUACAAAAAAAAACACCUGAAUUAAAAAAAAUAACAUUACGAUUGUAACAGGAAUUUCAGAAGGGUUCAAUAAUUUAGGAAGAUGAUAUAGUUAAAAUUAUUAUUAUAGGAAAAUAAAAAUUAAAAUAGGAAUUUGAGGCUGGGAGGACAGAGUUCCUCAGGUGUGAACCACUAUAUAUAAAGUGGAAAAAGUGGAUAUGGUAUGUUUCAAGCAAAGAAAAAAAAUUAGAAAGGUAAAUUUUAAGAAAAAAAUGUAGACAUAGGCUAGGGAGAAAUGUGGAAAAGACAUUUCAUAGAUGAAAUUAACACAGAACAAUAGUACAGAGGUCAAAGUGCGAAAAAAUGAAGGUAUAAAUAGUAAAGGGACGAGGUUGGUUAAUACAUAAGCAAAAAUAGGAAUGUUAAGAAACAAAUGGAGUUGGGUAUAUGGAAUUAGAUGAAGGAUUUAUUGAAAGAAGAUCUUGGGGUGCCUGGGUGGCUCAGUUGGUUAAGCAUCCAACUUCAGCUCAGGUCAUGAUCUCAUGGUUUGUGGGUCGAGCCCUGCGUUGGGCUCUGUGCUGGCAGCUCAGAGCCUGGAGCCUGCUUCGGAUUCUGUGUCUCCCUUUCUCUCUGUCCCUCUCUCAAAAGUAAAUAAACAUGAAAAAAAUAAAAGAAAGAAGAUCUCAUUCUUCUGGGGAAUUAACCUGUCAUGUGACCUUUGAGUAUCAGAGAAAGGGCCAUAAAAUAAUACCAAAAGAUCAGAAAACCAAGUCCUAUUGUUUUAGUUAAUAAUAUGUCAGUUGCUCUGAGUCACAUAUCUGUAAAACUGAGAUAAAAAUAUCAUCCCUACUUUCCUCUGAGGGUGGUUAUAAGGAAUAAGUGAUAUCCUUGCAAUCCUUUGUAAAAUACAAAGUACAAUACAAAUAAAAGAUGAUAUGAUGAUGAUGAUGAUGAUGAUGAUGAUGUUACACAUGGAGGCAAAGCAAUGAUUUUCUCUUCAUUAUAUCUCCCAGUUUGGUUUUCAAACUUAGAAUUUACAUAAUAUAGCAAAACUCAAUCAUCUGCCCUUUAGAACUUAAAAAUUGGAAUUUAUGGACUAAUGAAAACUAUGAAUAUUAUAUCUCCUUCCUUCCUUCCUUUCUUCCUACCUUCUCUCUUUUCUCCCUCCCUCCAUCCCUUCAUCCUCCCUUUCUACUAUCUAUUAUCAUCUAUCUAUCUAUCUACCUAUCUAUCUUAUUCCACAAUCAAGAACUGUAAAAUCUUUGAAGUGGAAAUUAGAGAAAUAUGAUCCAAUACUUGGUCUAGCUCUGUAAUUUUACAGACAAAGAAAUAGAGACUAAAUUCUUAUAUAAAUCCACACAGCUAAUGACAGAUAGUUCUGGGUCUCAACUGUUGAGACCAUACUCUUGAUUGUGUCUUUUGUACACUCUGUUUUGAAUAAAAAUUAAAAUUUUGUAGAGUAA